This is a long non-coding RNA of Alnus glutinosa, 792 nucleotides long. RefSeq lists it as uncharacterized. The record is from RefSeq and is a predicted model, not a curated record. The transcript has 3 exons. Lineage: Eukaryota; Viridiplantae; Streptophyta; Magnoliopsida; Fagales; Betulaceae.
UUGACAUCCAAAUAAGAGAGUGGAAGCUGAAAUAUGAUGGCUAUUAAAUGUACCAAAAAACUUAUGUUGGUAAUGAUGGAGCUGGUUAUCCUCAUAAUAAUUGAAUUGCAUGGAAAUGACCCUACCCAUUUCUCUCUGAAUCCUGCUCCAGCUCCUACUAGCCUUCAUGCCUCCCAAAUUAAUCAUACUUACAAUCAACUUUGCCUUGAAAGCACAGUUGAAAAGUGUGAAAAAAUACAAAAUUUAAUUGUUUUGGAGAAAUGUGUUAUUAGUAAUCUUCUUUUUUGCCUUUUUAAGCAUCCAAUACAUCAAAAGGUUUCUGUAAAAGAACGUUUCGUCAUUCCGCGAAAAUGCAUUACUAAAUGUUUUGGGCGGCUUAGAGGCAUCCGUGGUGCACAAUGUUUGUUAGACUGCUAUGAAUGGAAAAUGAGCAAGCAUUAAACAUCUAUAUCUUUGAUGAGCUCUGAGGUUGGUAAAAGGGAUAAAGAAGUUCACAUGUGCUGCUGACUCAUUCUUUGGGUCAUUACCCAUGCCAGUUCAUUCAAGCUGAUUGCUCAAGAUUAUGAAGAAAAAUCAGCUAGGUGUUCAUCUUCUCUUCAACAUGAGUCCCCAUCUUUUGUCUUCUCUAUGAAAUGUUGGUCCUCCAGGUCUAAAGAAGGAUUCUCAACAUGCUUGGCGCCUCACACACGUGAGGCUCUUCUUUUAUGUUUUGGUGCCUGGCCGCAUGACAUGUCUUCACAUAAAGAGCUGUUGGUCUUCUUUUGUUUGUUUUCCCAUCUAUUGCAAUUCCAC